GGAAUUUUCCGCAAUGGGCGAAAGCCUGACGGAGCAACGCCGCGUGAGGGAGGAAGGCCCUAGGGUUGUAAACCUCUUUUCUCUGGGAAGAAGAACUGACGGUCCCAGAGGAAUAAGCCUCGGCUAACUCCGUGCCAGCACCCGCGGUAAGACGGAGGAGGCAAGCGUUAUCCGGAAUUAUUGGGCGUAAAGCGUCCGCAGGCGGCUUUUUAAGUCUGUUGUCAAAGCCCACAGCUCAACUGUGGAUCGGCAAUGGAAACUGGAGAGCUUGAGUGUGGUAGGGGUAGAGGGAAUUCCCGGGGUACCGGUGAAAUGCGUAAAUUUCGGGAAAAACACCAGUGGCGAAGGCGCUCUACUGGGCCACAACUGACGCUGAGGGACAAAAGCUAGGGGAGCGAAAUGGAUUAGAUACCCCAGUAGUC
Molecule: ribosomal RNA, 422 nt
Filed under: uncultured Plectonema sp.
Lineage: Bacteria; Bacillati; Cyanobacteriota; Cyanophyceae; Oscillatoriales; Microcoleaceae
Description: bacterial SSU rRNA
Rfam family: Bacterial small subunit ribosomal RNA
Source: RNAcentral